RNAcentral lists this ribosomal RNA (253 nucleotides) under uncultured bacterium. Its description in RNAcentral is "partial 16S ribosomal RNA". It matches the Rfam family "Bacterial small subunit ribosomal RNA", at positions 524 to 776 of the family's 1533-position model. The record is from RNAcentral.
UACGUAGGGUGCGAGCGUUAAUCGGAAUUACUGGGCGUAAAGCGUGCGCAGGCGGUUUUGUAAGCCAGAUGUGAAAUCCCCGGGCUUAACCUGGGAAUGGCAUUUGGGACUGCAAGGCUUGAGUGCGGCAGAGGGGGGUGGAAUUCCACGUGUAGCAGUGAAAUGCGUAGAGAUGUGGAGGAACACCGAUGGCGAAGGCAGCCCCCUGGGUCGACACUGACGCUCAUGCACGAAAGCGUGGGGAGCAAACAGG